Molecule: ribosomal RNA, 497 nt
Filed under: uncultured bacterium
Lineage: Bacteria
Description: partial 16S ribosomal RNA
Rfam family: Bacterial small subunit ribosomal RNA
Source: RNAcentral
GACGAACGCUGGCGGCGUGCCUAAUACAUGCAAGUAGAACGCUGAAGAGAGGAGCUUGCUCUUCUUGGAUGAGUUGCGAACGGGUGAGUAACGCGUAGGUAACCUGCCUUGUAGCGGGGGAUAACUAUUGGAAACGAUAGCUAAUACCGCAUAACAAUGGAUGACACAUGUCAUUUAUUUGAAAGGGGCAAUUGCUCCACUACAAGAUGGACCUGCGUUGUAUUAGCUAGUAGGUGAGGUAAUGGCUCACCUAGGCGACGAUACAUAGCCGACCUGAGAGGGUGAUCGGCCACACUGGGACCGAGACACGGCCCAGACUCCUACGGGAGGCAGCAGUAGGGAAUCUUCGGCAAUGGGGGCAACCCUGACCGAGCAACGCCGCGUGAGUGAAGAAGGUUUUCGGAUCGUAAAGCUCUGUUGUAAGUCAAGAACGGGUGUGAGAGUGGAAAGUUCACACUGUGACGGUAGCUUACCAGAAAGAGACGGCUAACUACGUG